This 1992-nucleotide ribosomal RNA is filed under the name Salmonella enterica. RNAcentral's name for it is "partial 23S ribosomal RNA". It matches the Rfam family "Bacterial large subunit ribosomal RNA", at positions 829 to 2802 of the family's 2925-position model. The record is from RNAcentral. Lineage: Bacteria; Pseudomonadati; Pseudomonadota; Gammaproteobacteria; Enterobacterales; Enterobacteriaceae.
CCAAUCAAACCGGGAGAUAGCUGGUUCUCCCCGAAAGCUAUUUAGGUAGCGCCUCGUGAAUUCAUCUCCGGGGGUAGAGCACUGUUUCGGCUAGGGGGCCAUCCCGGCUUACCAACCCGAUGCAAACUGCGAAUACCGGAGAAUGUUAUCACGGGAGACACACGGCGGGUGCUAACGUCCGUCGUGAAGAGGGAAACAACCCAGACCGCCAGCUAAGGUCCCAAAGUCAUGGUUAAGUGGGAAACGAUGUGGGAAGGCCCAGACAGCCAGGAUGUUGGCUUAGAAGCAGCCAUCAUUUAAAGAAAGCGUAAUAGCUCACUGGUCGAGUCGGCCUGCGCGGAAGAUGUAACGGGGCUAAACCAUGCACCGAAGCUGCGGCAGCGACACUGUGUGUUGUUGGGUAGGGGAGCGUUCUGUAAGCCUGUGAAGGUGUGUCGUGAGGCAUGCUGGAGGUAUCAGAAGUGCGAAUGCUGACAUAAGUAACGAUAAAGCGGGUGAAAAGCCCGCUCGCCGGAAGACCAAGGGUUCCUGUCCAACGUUAAUCGGGGCAGGGUGAGUCGACCCCUAAGGCGAGGCCGAAAGGCGUAGUCGAUGGGAAACGGGUUAAUAUUCCCGUACUUGGUGUUACUGCGAAGGGGGGACGGAGAAGGCUAUGUUGGCCGGGCGACGGUUGUCCCGGUUUAAGCGUGUAGGUGUGUGUUCCAGGUAAAUCCGGUUCACUUUAACACUGAGGCGUGACGACGAGGCACUACGGUGCUGAAGCAACAAAUGCCCUGCUUCCAGGAAAAGCCUCUAAGCAUCAGGUAACAUCAAAUCGUACCCCAAACCGACACAGGUGGUCAGGUAGAGAAUACCAAGGCGCUUGAGAGAACUCGGGUGAAGGAACUAGGCAAAAUGGUGCCGUAACUUCGGGAGAAGGCACGCUGACACGUAGGUGAAGUGAUUUACUCAUGGAGCUGAAGUCAGUCGAAGAUACCAGCUGGCUGCAACUGUUUAUUAAAAACACAGCACUGUGCAAACACGAAAGUGGACGUAUACGGUGUGACGCCUGCCCGGUGCCGGAAGGUUAAUUGAUGGGGUCAGCGCAAGCGAAGCUCCUGAUCGAAGCCCCGGUAAACGGCGGCCGUAACUAUAACGGUCCUAAGGUAGCGAAAUUCCUUGUCGGGUAAGUUCCGACCUGCACGAAUGGCGUAAUGAUGGCCAGGCUGUCUCCACCCGAGACUCAGUGAAAUUGAACUCGCUGUGAAGAUGCAGUGUACCCGCGGCAAGACGGAAAGACCCCGUGAACCUUUACUAUAGCUUGACACUGAACAUUGAGCCUUGAUGUGUAGGAUAGGUGGGAGGCUUUGAAGUGUGGACGCCAGUCUGCAUGGAGCCGACCUUGAAAUACCACCCUUUAAUGUUUGAUGUUCUAACGUGGACCCGUUACCCGGGUUGCGGACAGUGUCUGGUGGGUAGUUUGACUGGGGCGGUCUCCUCCUAAAGAGUAACGGAGGAGCACGAAGGUUGGCUAAUCCUGGUCGGACAUCAGGAGGUUAGUGCAAUGGCAUAAGCCAGCUUGACUGCGAGCGUGACGGCGCGAGCAGGUGCGAAAGCAGGUCAUAGUGAUCCGGUGGUUCUGAAUGGAAGGGCCAUCGCUCAACGGAUAAAAGGUACUCCGGGGAUAACAGGCUGAUACCGCCCAAGAGUUCAUAUCGACGGCGGUGUUUGGCACCUCGAUGUCGGCUCAUCACAUCCUGGGGCUGAAGUAGGUCCCAAGGGUAUGGCUGUUCGCCAUUUAAAGUGGUACGCGAGCUGGGUUUAGAACGUCGUGAGACAGUUCGGUCCCUAUCUGCCGUGGGCGCUGGAGAACUGAGGGGGGCUGCUCCUAGUACGAGAGGACCGGAGUGGACGCAUCACUGGUGUUCGGGUUGUCAUGCCAAUGGCACUGCCCGGUAGCUAAAUGCGGAAGAGAUAAGUGCUGAAAGCAUCUAAGCACGAAACUUGCCCCGA